GUCUCUGUGGCGCAAUUGGUUAGCGCGUUCAGCUGUUAACCGAAAUGUUGGUGGUUCGAGCCCACCCAGGGACG
Molecule: transfer RNA, 74 nt
Filed under: Dryobates pubescens (Downy woodpecker)
Lineage: Eukaryota; Metazoa; Chordata; Aves; Piciformes; Picidae
Description: Picoides pubescens (downy woodpecker) tRNA
Rfam family: tRNA
About the family: Transfer RNA (tRNA) molecules are approximately 80 nucleotides in length. Their secondary structure includes four short double-helical elements and three loops (D, anti-codon, and T loops).
Source: Rfam by way of RNAcentral